RNAcentral lists this small nucleolar RNA (120 nucleotides) under Echinops telfairi (small Madagascar hedgehog). RNAcentral describes it as "Small nucleolar RNA SNORA61 (ENSETEG00000025501.1)". The record is from RNAcentral. Lineage: Eukaryota; Metazoa; Chordata; Mammalia; Afrosoricida; Tenrecidae.
ACCUUCCAGAUUCCUUUACCCUUUGGAUCUAAACCUAGGUCCGAGUGGCUAAAACAGGGGAAAAGUAAAACUGGAGUGGACUUGGAGUUUUAGUGACGUCCAAGCUCAUUUCAAACAUAU